GAAGUGGUGGGAGAAAGAGUGAAACAGACUGCCAGAGGAAGAGGAAGAGAGAGGGAAGUGGUGGGAGAAAGAGUGAAACACAGACUGCCAGAGGAAGAGGAAGAGAGAGGGAAGUGGUGGGAGAAAGAGUGAAACACAGACUGCCAGAGGAAGAGGAAGAGAGAGGGAAGUGGUGGGAGAAAGAGUGAAACACAGACUGCCAGAGGAAGAGGAAGAGAGAGGGAAGUGGUGAAACACAGACUGCCAGAGGAAGAGAGUGAAAAAGACUGCCAGAGGAAGAGGAAGAGAAACAGACUGCCAGAGGAAGAGAGAAACAGACUGCCAGAGGAAGAGAGUGAAACAGACUGCCAGAGGAAGAGAGUGAAACAGACUGCCAGAGGAAGAGAGAGAAACAGACUGCCAGAGGAAGAGAGUGAAACAGACUGCCAGAGGAAGAGAGUGAAACAGACUGCCAGAGGAAGAGU
Oncorhynchus tshawytscha (Chinook salmon) is the source of this 464-nucleotide long non-coding RNA. The record is from Ensembl. NCBI's taxonomy places the organism in Eukaryota, Metazoa, Chordata, Actinopteri, Salmoniformes, Salmonidae.